GAUGAACGCUGACAGAAUGCUUAACACAUGCAAGUCGAUGGGGAAGUGGUGCUUGCACCAUGGCAACCAUGGCGGACGGGUGAGUAACGCGUAAGGGACUUACCUGCAGGACUGGGAUAACAGGGGGGAAACUCCUGACAAGACCGGAUAAUGUCAUGGAGCUGCAUGGCUUUAUGAUGAAAGGAGACGCCUGCGGAGAGCCUUGCGUCCUAUUAGCUAGUUGGUGAGGUAAUGGCUCACCAAGGCGAAGAUAGGUAGCCGGCCUGAGAGGGUGGACGGCCACAGGGGGACUGAGAUACGGCCCUUACUCCUACGGGAGGCAGCAGUGGGGAAUAUUGGACAAUGGGGGCAACCCUGAUCCAGCAAUUCUGUGUGCACGAAGAAGGUUUUCGGAUUGUAAAGUGCUUUCAGCAGGGAAGAAGUAAGUGACGGUACCUGCAGAAGAAGCGACGGCUAAAUACGUG
This 464-nucleotide ribosomal RNA is filed under the name uncultured bacterium. Its description in RNAcentral is "partial 16S ribosomal RNA". It matches the Rfam family "Bacterial small subunit ribosomal RNA", at positions 28 to 507 of the family's 1533-position model. The record is from RNAcentral.